Molecule: ribosomal RNA, 497 nt
Filed under: uncultured bacterium
Lineage: Bacteria
Description: partial 16S ribosomal RNA
Rfam family: Bacterial small subunit ribosomal RNA
Source: RNAcentral
GAUGAACGCUGGCGGCGUGCCUAAUACAUGCAAGUCGAGCGAACAGACGAGGAGCUUGCUCCUCUGACGUUAGCGGCGGACGGGUGAGUAACACGUGGAUAACCUACCUAUAAGACUGGGAUAACUUCGGGAAACCGGAGCUAAUACCGGAUAAUAUAUUGAACCGCAUGGUUCAAUAGUGAAAGACGGUUUUGCUGUCACUUAUAGAUGGAUCCGCGCCGCAUUAGCUAGUUGGUAAGGUAACGGCUUACCAAGGCAACGAUGCGUAGCCGACCUGAGAGGGUGAUCGGCCACACUGGAACUGAGACACGGUCCAGACUACUAAGGGAGGCAGCAGUAGGGAAUCUUCCGCAAUGGGCGAAAGCUUGACGGAGCAACGCCGCGUGAGUGAUGAAGGUCUUCGGAUCGUAAAACUCUGUUAUUAGGGAAGAACAAAUGUGUAAGUAACUAUGCACGUCUUGACGGUACCUAAUCAGAAAGCCACGGCUAACUACGUG